This 377-nucleotide ribosomal RNA is filed under the name uncultured bacterium. RNAcentral's name for it is "bacterial SSU rRNA". It matches the Rfam family "Bacterial small subunit ribosomal RNA", at positions 523 to 898 of the family's 1533-position model. The record is from RNAcentral.
AUACGUAGGGAGCGAGCGUUGUCCGGAAUUACUGGGCGUAAAGGGCGUGUAGGCGGGAAUUUAAGUAAGGUGUGAAAACUCCGGGCUCAACUUGGAGACUGCACUUUAAACUGGAUUUCUUGAGGGCAGGAGAGGAAAGUGGAAUUCCUAGUGUAGCGGUGAAAUGCGUAGAUAUUAGGAGGAACAUCAGUGGCGAAGGCGACUUUCUGGACUGCACCUGACGCUGAGGCGCGAAAGCAUGGGUAGCGAACAGGAUUAGAUACCCUGGUAGUCCAUGCCGUAAACGAUGAAUACUAGGUGUAGGGGGUAUCGACCCCCUCUGUGCCGCAGUUAACACAAUAAGUAUUCCGCCUGGGGAGUACGACCGCAAGGUUGAA